This is a long non-coding RNA of Bradysia coprophila, 192 nucleotides long. NCBI's taxonomy places the organism in Eukaryota, Metazoa, Arthropoda, Insecta, Diptera, Sciaridae. The record is from RefSeq and is a predicted model, not a curated record.
ACCUACUAGCUUGCACCGUUCGGGUUUUAAGUUCUUCAUCCAGAUCGUUAGCAACGUUGACAGUGGAACCAAGAUAUUUGAAAGAUUGGACAACCUCAAAAUUGUACUCAUUCAUGGUCAUGUUUUGUCCAAUUCUGGAUCCCUGACUCCUAUCUAGUACGAGGUAUUUGGUUUUAUAGUCAUGUAUCAUCA